AGGUCCUCAAAGCUUUCUUUAAUUUCAUUUCGAACUUGCAAUUUCAGACGGAUAAAGCUUCAAUAUUGGAUGGCGCUAUCGCAUAUAUCAAAGCCUUAAAGAUGCAAAAUGAAGCUCUGGAAUUUUCCAUGAUCACGUGGCAAGCCACCGAGAUGAGUCAGACUGCAAGUGGCGGAACUGGUAUGCCGAAUAGAGAACGUGUGUCCAUGAGUCAAUCCUGCGCCGGAGUUUUUGUGCCACAGCCACCACAACCGUUAUCAGCUGAUAAUAUCCUGCAGUUUCCUCAAAUGGCGGAAGAAUUGCCAGUAUUGCCUUUCACUAAUUUGCCCUCGUCCAACUUUGCUGCGGCUUCCAGUGGGUUCUUGAGUUUUCUAAAUCAAGAACACUUUGCUUUCCCAACAGCAAAAACCACCUCUUUCAAGUAAAUCAGGUUAGAUCAACGAAUCAAGCGGGUUAACUCUGGCAUAUUGAACGGCUGGUCGAAUUCGAGUCAAAAAAGAAUCAAGUGAAGUCCAAGACUCCAAGAUUUAGCAUCUCUACUCAUGAUCUUAUCAACCAUAGAUGAUGAUGCUAAGUUACAUAUGUUCUGCUUUUUGGUAUCUGAUCAGUAAUAUAAGUAUAAAUUGUUACUAUGGAAUAUUUAGUUUUGAAAAGCGUAAAAUGCGAAGAAGGUGAGUUAAAUUUAAUUUUAAAAUUUAAUCAUAACUAUUUCGAUCUACAUAUAUAAAAUUCUCAGAGGCAAUUGUGCUUUAUAUAGCCAGCGAGCAAAUUUUGCAAAUAGGAGGCUGAGACUGAGAAGAACUCUUUGAUUAGGACUGUUACUGUAGUUUUUAUUUGUUAAUUAGUUUCAUGAUAUUAAGAACCGAGUAGUGGCCAUAAGCAAGACUAAACUGGUGGCUCUCCUCCGCCAUGUCUAUGACCUCGGCCAUCAGUGUCUGGGCGAAAACUACGUUUAAGAACUCAUCGAAAAAGCUCCUCAGGUACCUAUUCUAUUCUUCUUUCGAUAUUCAUUUAUGUCUCGAAACUUUUGGAACUUCUCUUCCAUUAUACUGAAUUUGAUGCUUUUAACUGUAAAAUACAUAAGAUCAGGGGUGAGCAAAAUUACCGAACGGACCGAACUGAAAAUCAAACCGACUCAUUUUAGUUCGGUCUGAUGCCCAAGAGAGGUUCAGUUGGUCAGUUCGUUCGGUUUUAAACCGAAUUUGUUGCUCCGUUCAAUUCGAUUACACAAAUAUUAGGCAGUUGGGCUUAGAAUCCUACCGAAAUGAUAAAAAUUGACAAAAAAAAUAGACCGAACUGACUGGUUUGGUUCAUAUACAAAUUUCAAUUCAAUUCAAUUUAUUAUAAAGAAAUUUCGGUUUAUAUUUUGUGGCGUCGACCAAACCAAAUCGGCGGUUUGCUCACCCUUAUCUAUAACAUAACGGAGCAUAGAGAAGCCUGAAAAACACUAAGAAUGUUUAGGCUUAGUGAUUCAAAUUGAAAAGGUUGAUUUUCGUUAGUAAUGAUACUAGUGGUUAGCGACCUUAAUCUCAUAAGGAUGAGAACACAAAUUCGAUUUCUAAAAACCCAUUUUGUCGAGAAAGCCAAAAACCUUUAUUAUUUUGAGAGAGAGGGAGAAUAUUAAAGAUGAGUAUAAAAAGAUAAUUCCAUUAAAUAGGAUGAUAGAUUUUAGUUUUUUUCAAAAUUAAAAAUCAGAAUUUCUAUUGAAUCACAGGUUAUAUAUUCUAAUUUAAAUUGCCACAUUUAUGCGAAAGUGUUUGGUAAAGACAAGCUAGCCAUUUGUCAUUUUUCAAUUAAAAUCAAAAGAAUCAAAAGAGAUGAUACUUAAUUAAUAAAGUGUUGGUUGAGGUGAUAAGUGAUCUCAAUCUCUGUAAUAAAGGUGCGAAUUCGAUUUUUGAAAAAUGCAUUUUGUUGAGUGUGCAGAAAAGAUUUAUGCUAAGUUACACUUUCUGGUUAUAAUAAUAAUAAAAAAAAAAA
Jatropha curcas is the source of this 1977-nucleotide long non-coding RNA. RefSeq lists it as uncharacterized. The record is from RefSeq and is a predicted model, not a curated record. Lineage: Eukaryota; Viridiplantae; Streptophyta; Magnoliopsida; Malpighiales; Euphorbiaceae.